GAUGAACGCUGGCGGCGUGCUUAACACAUGCAAGUCGAACGAAGCGCUUAAAUGGAUUUCUUCGGAUUGAAGUUUUUGUGACUGAGCGGCGGACGGGUGAGUAACGCGUGGGUAACCUGCCUCAUACAGGGGGAUAACAGUUGGAAACGGCUGCUAAUACCGCAUAAGCGCACAGUACCGCAUGGUACGUUGUGAAAAACUCCGGUGGUAUGAGAUGGACCCGCGUCUGACUAGGUAGUUGGUGGGGUAACGGCCCACCAAGGCGACGAUCAGUAGCCGGACUGAGAGGUUGAACGGCCACAUUGGGACUGAGACACGGCCCAG
This 324-nucleotide ribosomal RNA is filed under the name uncultured bacterium. Its description in RNAcentral is "bacterial SSU rRNA". It matches the Rfam family "Bacterial small subunit ribosomal RNA", at positions 28 to 334 of the family's 1533-position model. The record is from RNAcentral.